This 424-nucleotide long non-coding RNA is filed under the name Manihot esculenta (cassava). RNAcentral describes it as "long non-coding RNA (MESC_LNC003704)". Lineage: Eukaryota; Viridiplantae; Streptophyta; Magnoliopsida; Malpighiales; Euphorbiaceae. The record is from RNAcentral.
UUGCAUAAAACUUUCUAAAUGAAGGAGCCGGAAACCAUAGAUUAUUGUAAUGUUUGCUUACGAAAAGUAAAGCAAAGAUGGGAAGAAGAUGAAACUCCAUGGAAGCCAUCAAACACAAGCUAGAUUUUUUGAUACGCAAUAGCUUGGAGGCUCACCGCUAUUUAUGGAGGUUCGUAUCCAUAAUAUGCCAAAAUAAUAUUUCAAAUUUUUUUAAAAAAUUAAGAAUACUAUUUUCCUCCGUUUAAAUAAAAACCACAACAAAUAGGAUGCAUAUUGGUCUAUUUAUUUAUGAAAAUUUUUUAUAAAACUCAUAAAUAAAAUUUGGUAUGUAUAAGUGUUAAUUUUGCAAUUAAAUAAUAUAAAAGUUACUUUUCAUUAUAUAAUGAAGAUUUAGUUAUUUUCAUUAUUUUUGGUUGUAAUUACA